This is a long non-coding RNA of Vicia villosa (hairy vetch), 3077 nucleotides long. RefSeq lists it as uncharacterized. The record is from RefSeq and is a predicted model, not a curated record. Lineage: Eukaryota; Viridiplantae; Streptophyta; Magnoliopsida; Fabales; Fabaceae. The transcript is spliced from 3 exons.
AUCUAUCGUUUAGAAAGUUUUUGUAUAUUGUAUCCUACGGUUCCCGAUCAAUUUCGUUCUCCAUCCUCGAUAAACCUCGAUUUCCGUCUCUGAUCAAUCUCUCUCCGAUCACACCGUUUCCGAUCGAUCUCGUUCCCUUCCACGAUCAACCUUUUUCUCCGUCUCCGAUCAACCUUUUUCUCCGUCUCCGAUCAACCUCGUCUUCCCUCUUCGAUUUACCUUGUUCUCCUCCAUCACAAAUCGAUCUUGUCUUGCACAUUCUUUGAUUGAUUUCAUCUACUUCCUCAUCCUCUCUUUAUCUGAUAGAUCUACCUUUUUCCUCAUCCCAAUCUUUGGUAAUGGCUGGAUGUGCUUCUUUGAAAAUGAAGAUAGAGGUAUGUGUUCCGUUUUAUAUUUAAAGAUCUCACUUGACUAGUGUUGUUGCAUUUACUACUGUAAAUGAAGCUUCUAUAUAGAUAUUAGAAAGGCAUUGGUUUAGUUCAAAUAUAUGAUGACCUCUAUUAAAAAGGAUAUAAAUGAACUAUUAGAGUUUGGUGAUUUUUUCUACUAAUCACCUUAAACACUAUUGAGAGGAUGAAGUUUAAAUUGUAUAGUGUUAAAAUCUGAAAUAGAAUAUGAUCAAUGCGGUACCUACUUAGAGGAUGAAGUUUGAAUUGUUUUGUGUUAGAAUCUUAAAUAGAAGAUGAUGAACGUGGUUCCUACUUAGAGGAUGAAGUUUGAAUUGUUUAGUGUUAGGAUCUUAAAUAGAAGAUGAUCAAUGCGGUACCUACUGCUAUAUCAAAUUAGUAUGCAAGUUUAAAAUAUAAUCAAAUCAUACUAAACGACAUGUCAUCAGAGUUGUAAACUUAUAAUACUAGUUCUAAUUAUAAUUUCCUUUUUUGAAUGUGUAUGCUAAUCAGUUUAGUUUUUUUAGUGAAUAUCAGUUGAAUGCUUACUCUCACACAGCUCUCUACCACUUUACUUUUUUCCGCCGUUUCCUAUAAGUUGAGUUUUUGCAAAAUAAAGUAAAAACACUCUAGUCAGCAUGGAGGUUCUUGAAGUAGCUUUGUUAUUAUGUUUUGUUUAUUGAUAAAAUCUACGAAAUAAAGAUUCUAAUAAAAAUCAAGAUGGACAUCAUAUAAUAAGAUACAUAGUUAGUUAAUUGAAACUACUAUCUUUUCAAUUAUAAUUUGUUUCUUCAUAAACUCUGUUGUGAGUUAAUGAGUGAUUGUUUGAACAUCUCUACUGAGACUUUUUAUGUCUCUUGUUUCUGAAAAAUUUGCCUUUGUUCUUUGCUGCAUAUAAAGGCUGGGAGUUAGAUACAUCAUCAAUAACUUUAAUUGUUGGAUAUAUGAAAAAGAUUAUGAAGAACUAAGUAUUUUCCAUGGAAGAUCAAACAUGUUCCUGGUAAAGCUGGUGGGUUGGCGCACACAGAUAAUCUAGUGCCUGUUGUACACGUUGGUCUCCUUGGAUUGCUUCUGUUCUAGGUAAUUAUUAGAAGACAGUGUAAUUAAGAAAGGUGGAAACUAGCUUGAUGAUCCAAGUACCCUUUUUAAAAGUGUCUAGAAUAAUAUUUUGAUGGAUGAUUUUUGAUUGACUGCGUGAAUGCGGCUAUAAUUUCCAACUAAUGAAUCUCAAUCCAUGGUAGAUAGCUUUGAUUUAAUUUGUUAACUGCAAGCUUGUAAUCACCUAUGGUUCUCAAUGAUGCUAGCUAUAAUUUUGAUUUAGUGCAUCCAACAAUAGUAGAAGUUAAAGAAGUAUUAUCAUGUGCCUGUUAAAUAUUUGUGUUGGUUUGUUGAUAUAUAUGAUUAAGUGUUUCAAUCAUGAUUUUAAUGUCUGAUUUUUCUCCAGAUAUUAUGAAGGAGAUUUUUUGUUUUUAGCCCAAGGCUUGUAAGUUGUGCGACUCGUCAAAUACCAGCCCUUUAUAUUCUGCUGUAAGCAAUGAUUUAACUAAAGCCCUUUAUUCAAUCUGUUGUAUGAGAUGUAUAAUAUGAAGCUUAUUCAGAUUAAUUUGGUUAUUGAUAUUUUGACUCACAUAGCUGGAUAUAUGGUUGCACGAUUGCAAAUAUUGAUGGAGUAGCUACUACAUUUGCUGCAGGAGUAUAAAUGACAAGGUACACAUGACCUUUUUCUUCUUUUGGUACAUUUCAUUUUGAACUUUAGUUAAAUCAUUACUGAAUUUGAAAGUUUGUUAUCAGUAACUACUCAUCUUUGAAACAAAAGUUAUUUCAUGGGACUAGUGUACAUGAAAAAAAAGUAAGGAAAUGAACAAAAUGGCUACUUUAAGUGCAAAAGAAGUGGCUGAGUACAAGUAAGGCUUCACUUAAAGUAGUGGUAUGCAAAAAUAAUUAUAGAGCAUAUGAAGCUUGGGUAGAAAAGGAUGGGAAUGUGAUUUUAUGACUUAUGUUUCUUAUUAAAAGCUCGUUUGCAAAUUUCUUUUACGUAGAAGUGUUGCCCAUCAUUGUUCAUGCAGUGUUAGUAAAAUAUCUGAAACAUAUUUUUGUACCAGCUUCAAAGAUUUUUGUUUAAUAUAUCUAAUUUUGUCUAAUUUUGUUAUUGUGUCUUUUAAAUUCCUAUUGUUGUUUGUUAUGUAGCAGGUUUUAAAUGUUUUAUUAUACGAAGAAAUCAAGUUUGGAACCGUUUGAUAUUCGAUUUGAUGAGCACGCAUCGAAGGUUGCAUUUCCGCAUGGUAUGAUGAUACCACCUAAUUCUUUUAAUACAAUGUACCAUUCUCUUGCGUUUUGGGCUUUGAUGCUUCUGGUGUCGGUUAGCAGGAUGGCUUCUAAUGUUUUUAGAGGUUAUUGGCGACAUAGGCUUAUUUGAGAAGUUGGGGUUAUGUUGCCGUCUAUCCUCCUAUUGUCUAUAGGUAUGGCAGAGUUUAGGCUUAUCCCUUUUCGGAGAAAGAUCUUCACGUGAGUGUCGGUAUCCUCCUAUUGUCUAUAGGUAUGGCAGAGUUUAGGCUUAUCCCUUUUCGGAGAAAGAUCUUCACGUGAACGUCGGUCGUUUAAUCAAGUAUUUGGUUUUGUGGAUAUUAAAUAAGCAUAGAUUGUUUGAAUAUUUUUUGAGAUGGGAUAAAUAUAUAUGUUAGAAUUGAUUAA